This 253-nucleotide ribosomal RNA is filed under the name uncultured bacterium. RNAcentral's name for it is "partial 16S ribosomal RNA". It matches the Rfam family "Bacterial small subunit ribosomal RNA", at positions 524 to 776 of the family's 1533-position model. The record is from RNAcentral.
UACAGAGGUCCCGAGCGUUGUUCGGAUUCACUGGGCGUAAAGGGUGCGUAGGUGGUGAGGUAAGUCGGAUGUGAAAUCUCCGGGCUCAACCCGGAAAUGGCAUUGGAAACUACCUUGCUGGAGGAUUUGAGGGGGGAUUGGAAUACUUGGUGUAGCAGUGAAAUGCGUAGAUAUCAAGUGGAACACCAGUGGCGAAGGCGAGUCCCUGGACACUUCCUGACACUGAGGCACGAAAGCUAGGGGAGCAAACAGG